UGAAAUGUUCAACAGCACCUUAUCUGUCUCAGAAGAAGAGAUCCUACUUCCUCCUGAACCCAACCUGUGUUUCCCUGUCAAAGUUUUACAAAGACCCAGAGACACCCAAAGACUCACAAACCACUUCACCCUGUCAAUAAGUGUCCCCAGAAAUUGUCUUGCCAUAACAAGUACCAUGCUAAAUUCUUCUAAUGUGUUAUAUACAACAAGCUUCACUUCAACGAAUGUAUUUUUCCUUGAAUUUCCUGACCAUUGGAAUUUUCAGAUAUGGGGAACUGGGUCUGAAUUCACUGCCUUGACAAUGAAUUUCAAUCUUAUGCUAUGUCCUUCCUUGGAGGUCAGAAGAGGCUCCUAAAAGCUGAGAGCAAUGUAGCACCAUAAAUUCCAGGACAUGAAACAGGCCCUUUUGAGCUACAUGAAAGGUUAUCCAAGGAGAAUAAGAAGCAGUCUGUCACAUGAUCCAUUCAACUCCCAGCAGAUCUGACAGCUCAGACAUCCUGCUCCUCCUCCAUGGAAGGCAAUGCACUCCCACUCACCAUGGCAUUGCUUAUGGUCUACCUCAUGGUUCCCUGUGUCUGAAAUAGAGGAGAACCCUUGAAAAAACUCAUAAUCUACCUCCCACUGGUGCUCCUGAUUGCUAGGCUUGCCCAAAGUUUCUCAAUAGCUUGUCUCCAACAGGGCCUGAGGACAGUAGCAGCUCCUCUACUAGGUAA
Long non-coding RNA from Peromyscus eremicus (cactus mouse), 713 nucleotides. RefSeq lists it as uncharacterized. The record is from RefSeq and is a predicted model, not a curated record. The transcript has 3 exons. Lineage: Eukaryota; Metazoa; Chordata; Mammalia; Rodentia; Cricetidae.